ACGGAUAGUUCAUGAAAGUCAGAGUUUAAUGUUAGCUCAGAAUGAACGCUAUCUAGAGGCAUUACACAUGCAAAUCGUCAGGGGUGGUUUACCAUUCCUACGGUGUACAGGUGAGUAUAAAUAGGAAUCUACCCAUUAACAUUCUAAGAGUUAGUGGAUGAGCCUAUCUUGGGGAAGGUAGUUGGUGGGACAAAAGCUUACCAAGCCAGAGAACCCUAGUCAAUGUUUGAAAGAACCUCUGACCACAUUGGCUCUGAAACAAUAGCCAAGAUUCUCUACCAGGGAGUCCAGCAGUGAGGAAUAUUGGUCAAUGAUCGCAAGAUUGAACCAGCCAUCUAGAAGAAUUUUUAUAUUCUAAACAAAGAGAGGAUGAUGACGUUAUCUUUGUUACAGUCUCGACCCAAUCUCGUGCCAGCAGUCGCGGUAAUACGAGUGAGGCAAGCGUUAUUCAUCAUUACUAGGUCUAAAGGGUGAGUAGGUGGUUAUGAACUUAUUAAUUAACUAGAGUCGAAUCGAAGAAUAAAGAAUUUUGGGAGUAGAGAUGAAAUCCGAUGAUACCCAAAGGACUGCUCAUGGCGAAAGCAUUAUUCUAAUUAUCGACUGACACUGAGGUACGAAAGCAUAAGGAGCGAAAAGGAUUAGAUACCCUUGUAGUUUAUGCUGUAAACGAUGAAUGCUAGAAAUUAGAAUACUCUAUUUUAGUUUCUGUGGUGAAGACUUUAAGCAUUCCACCUGAGAAGUACUGUCGCAAGGCUGAAACUCAAAACAUUAGACGGUCACAGAGAUCAGCAGUGAAGCAUGUUGUUUAAUUCGAUAACCCACGACAAAUCUUACCACUCCUUGUAUAAUAAAUAUUUUCCUUAAGGGAUUGUUUUGACUUUGAGGAACUUUAAUUAAAUAAUAACAUAUAUACUUAUGAUAAGUCUUUAAACUUACUUAUAUAUAUUUGUAAUACGUCAUCUAAACUUAUAUUAAUAAUAAUUCAAUAGUUAUUAUUGAAUCGAUGACAUAAUUGUUGUUAAUGUGAUGGAUAGUAAUAAUAAUUAAAUAUUGUUAUGGGUGUGAGUAACAUUAGUAAUAAUAACUAAUUAUUACCAUUAUAAACCACAGUAAUAAUAAUUGAUUAAAUAAUUAAAUGGAAUGAAUGAUUAAGCAAUUAGUAAUUCAUUAAUAUUUAUUACAGGUGUUGCAUGGCUGUCUUUAGUUCGUGUUGUGAAAUGUUAGGUUAAUUCCGAAAACGAACGCAAUCCUUAUCUUUAUUUAAAACUAUAUAAAGAGGUAUCUUUCCAUAAGAAGGAAUAAUUAGGGUGAAGACAAGUCCUCAUGACCCUUAUGGAGUGGGCUACAGACGUGCCACAAAUAUUUCUACAAAGGGAAGCAAAGAUGAAAGUCUGAGCUAAUCCUCAAAAGAAAUAAAAGUACGGAUAAGAAUCUGGAACUCGAUUCUUUGAAGAAGGAAUUGCUAGUAAUCGUUCAUCAUCAAGGAACGGUGAAACGAACAUCUGUGAUGUACUAACUACUCGUCAAGCGCGAAAAUCAUUAAGAAGUAUCAAGUUGAUUGAAUUUAAUUUCUAAAGAGUUAAAGAAUUUAACAUCUGUAGAAUCAAAGGAUUUCAGCGUCUAUUUCCUAGAAAUUUGUGCUAAGUCGAAAUAAGGUAGCUGUAGGGGAACCUGUAGCUGAAAGAUUAAAUAACCCAUAACCCCACCUCAUUUCU
Molecule: ribosomal RNA, 1715 nt
Filed under: Pneumocystis carinii
Lineage: Eukaryota; Fungi; Ascomycota; Pneumocystomycetes; Pneumocystales; Pneumocystaceae
Description: SSU rRNA
Rfam family: Bacterial small subunit ribosomal RNA
Source: RNAcentral